Non-coding RNA from Dermacentor andersoni, 456 nucleotides. The record is from RefSeq and is a predicted model, not a curated record. Lineage: Eukaryota; Metazoa; Arthropoda; Arachnida; Ixodida; Ixodidae.
GUUAAACUUAUCGCCUGUCGUUUUGUUCUUCAGUUCUAGUUCUUGCCGAGAACACAUUCUCGCACAAGAAAAUACAUGCCCUAACAGGACAAAAGACCAUAUUGACCAUACUGAGUGGGCGGUCUAAUAAAAUGGAGCCCGUUUGGAUGUCAGACUCGACGACGAGAAAAACUUUGAAGAUUCAUUGCAAGAAUACGAAAGAGUCGGGAAAAAUGCUACAAAUGUCCAGGCCACCGGCAACGGGGUUACGCCCGCAACCCCUGCAGCCGCUGGCAGCCCCGCAGCCACUGGCAGCCCGGAACCGCUGGAAACCAUGGAACCGCUCACAGCCCCGGGAGCGCUCGCAGCCUCAGAACCUCUGGAACCGACAGUUCGAGUGGGACAGUAACUGCGGAGACAGCGUCUCCCAUGUCUACUGUUCCAAAAUCUGCUUGAACCAGUGGCCGUUAUGUUCAC